Molecule: long non-coding RNA, 979 nt
Filed under: Homo sapiens (human)
Lineage: Eukaryota; Metazoa; Chordata; Mammalia; Primates; Hominidae
Description: HPS1 antisense RNA 1 (HPS1-AS1)
Source: RNAcentral
GACUUCCGCUUCACCUCGCUAUCUUGCCCUAGAAAGGGAACUCGGAGGGGACUCACUGACGAAAGGAGCUCCAGAUGGCGGGGGGCCAACCUGGGGCGACCCCCAGCGCCCACUUUCACCAUCUGGACCCCAGCAAACCUCCCUGUGGCCCUUGGUCCCGUCUUCAGCAGCUCCUUCUGGGGUCCCACACCUUCGGAGCCCGGCCCUGCCCCUGAGUCUCUGGAGAGAGCGAGUCAGCAGUUCGCCGCCGCGGGGCUCCCGUUUGCCUAGCACGCCAGUUUCUGUCCAGUUUCACCCCAAAUCCCCACCUCCCCCCACCCCCGAACCUCACGGCCACCCUGGGAAGGAGGCUUGACUUGUGACAUCCACCCCUCUUCACGGCUGAGGAACUUUGGCCCCGAGCGAGGAAGCGACCGGCCCACGGCCACACGCCCGGAGUGGGUAAAUAUCUACUCAUGGGAUUGCUGGGCUGUAUGGGGGCAGCAUCUUCUACUAUGUGCAUCUACAUUGGAUGGCAGUGGAGCAACACAGAUUGUUUUCUGACAAAAAUCAGCCAAGUACUAGGAGAGGCAGGACUUUAGAAGUGGAGGAGAUGGAGAAGGAAGCUUAGGUUACUAUGGAGUGUGCAAAAAGGUCCUGUGGAUUUAGAUACCACCACACACAAAUGCUGUUGUUGGAAGGUACCUGCCCAGAUAAGGACUGCAUUUCCUCUAGCAUCCAGAUGGGACCAAAUGACUGCUGGCCAAUAGAAGUGAGUGGAAAGGACUGACUCCAGUUCCAGGUUGGGCCUCCAACUGCUCUGGGCACGUCGAUGGAACAGAACACCACCUCCACCCCAAUACCACCAAUUCAACUUUACAUGAAUUAUAAGCGAGAAAUAACUUGGACUGUGUUAAGUCAUUGAGUUUCUGGGGUUUAACUGUUAUUAUAGUUAAGAAUGACUUUAACUAAUAUAGUCAAUGACAUCUAAAAAAAAAAA